GGGCCGCUAGCUCAACUGGUAGAGCAGGACACUCUUAAUGUCAAGGUUCUGGGUUCGAGACCCAGGCGGCCCA
This 73-nucleotide transfer RNA is filed under the name Candidatus Omnitrophota bacterium. RNAcentral describes it as "Candidatus Omnitrophica bacterium (groundwater metagenome) tRNA-Lys". It matches the Rfam family "tRNA". From Rfam's summary of the family: Transfer RNA (tRNA) molecules are approximately 80 nucleotides in length. Their secondary structure includes four short double-helical elements and three loops (D, anti-codon, and T loops). Lineage: Bacteria; Pseudomonadati; Candidatus Omnitrophota. The record is from RNAcentral.